AAGUGAGCUUCGAUGCAUCCGAUGAUGAAGCUGCAUAGGGCAGAUUCUGAGCUGGGAGCUGCGGUUCCCGAACGCUGAUCUUCCGUUUAUGCGGACUGAGGAUGCGACUCGGGGU
Molecule: small nucleolar RNA, 115 nt
Organism: Thamnophis elegans (Western terrestrial garter snake)
Lineage: Eukaryota; Metazoa; Chordata; Lepidosauria; Squamata; Natricidae
Product: small nucleolar RNA SNORD90
Exons: 1
Source: RefSeq, a predicted model, not a curated record